RNAcentral lists this ribosomal RNA (459 nucleotides) under uncultured bacterium. Its description in RNAcentral is "partial 16S ribosomal RNA". It matches the Rfam family "Bacterial small subunit ribosomal RNA", at positions 338 to 795 of the family's 1533-position model. The record is from RNAcentral.
CCUACGGGCGGCUGCAGUGAGGAAUAUUGGUCAAUGGCCGAGAGGCUGAACCAGCCAAGUCGCGUGAGGGAAGAAUGUCCUAUGGAUUGUAAACCUCUUUUGUCAGGGAGCAAAGUCACCCACGUGUGGGUGUUGGAGAGUAUCUGAAGAAAAAGAAUCGGCUAACUCCGUGCCAGCAGCCGCGGUAAUACGCAGGAUGCGAGCGUGAUCGGAGUUUAUUGGGUUAAAAGGGUGCGUAGGCGGGUUUUCAAGUUACCGGUAAAAUCGUGGGGUUCAACUCCAUCCAGCCGUUGAAACUGAUGAUCUUGAGUGUGCGAGAGGUAUGCGGAAUGCGUGGUGUAGCGGUGAAAUGCAUAGAUAUCACGCAGAACUCCGAUUGCGAAGGCAGCAUACCGGAGCCCGACUGACGCUGAAGCACGAAAGCGUGGGUAUCGAACAGGAUUAGAUACCCCUGUAGUC